AUUGAUCCAUGUAUUUGAUUAGUAGGUCAUUCCUCUUUUCUUUUCCCAAUCAAUCAGACCAGAAGAACCAUGUGACAUCUGCUCUGAGCGCAGAGCCAUGAAGCUUUGUCUGACCUGCUCUGUCUACUACUGUGAGAAACACAUGAGGAAGCACUUCAUAAUACAAGCACUGAGGAGACACGUCAUGGUGGAUGUCACUGAAGAAGUCGUACUACAGAGAAACACCUCGGAGAAGAAGAGAGAGGAGCAGGAGGAAGAGGGAAGGAGACAGGGACAGGAGGAGGGGCUGAGGGAAGGAGACAGGGACAGGAGGAGGGGCUGAGGUGGCAGACGAGGAAGGAGGACUUUAGGGAAGAGGAGAGGGGGCACCAGGAGGCUGUGGAACAACAGUGCAGAGAGAAGGAGAGAGAGAGAGAGGGA
This is a long non-coding RNA of Oncorhynchus tshawytscha (Chinook salmon), 420 nucleotides long. The record is from Ensembl. Lineage: Eukaryota; Metazoa; Chordata; Actinopteri; Salmoniformes; Salmonidae.